This 482-nucleotide ribosomal RNA is filed under the name uncultured bacterium. RNAcentral describes it as "bacterial SSU rRNA". It matches the Rfam family "Bacterial small subunit ribosomal RNA", at positions 45 to 518 of the family's 1533-position model. The record is from RNAcentral.
GGCCUAACACAUGCAAGUCGAACGGUAACAGGAAGAAGCUUGCUCUUGCUGACGAGUGGCGGACGGGUGAGUAAUGUCUGGGAAACUGCCUGAUGAGGGGGAUAACUACUGGAAACGGUAGCUAAUACCGCAUAACGUCGCAAGACCAAAGAGGGGGACCUUCGGGCCUCUUGCCAUCGGAUGUGCCCAGAUGGGAUUAGCUAGUAGGUGGGGUAACGGCUCACCUAGGCGACGAUCCCUAGCUGGUCUGAGAGGAUGACCAGCCACACUGGAACUGAGACACGGUCCAGACUCCUACGGGAGGCAGCAGUGGGGAAUAUUGCACAAUGGGCGCAAGCCUGAUGCAGCCAUGCCCGCGUGUAUGAAGAAGGCCUUCGGGUUGUAAAGUACUUUCAGCGGGGAGGAAGGGAGUAAAGUUAAUACCUUUGCUCAUUGACGUUACCCGCAGAAGAAGCACCGGCUAACUCCGUGCCAGCCGCCGC